Molecule: ribosomal RNA, 264 nt
Filed under: uncultured bacterium
Lineage: Bacteria
Description: partial 16S ribosomal RNA
Rfam family: Bacterial small subunit ribosomal RNA
Source: RNAcentral
GUCCACGCCGUAAACGAUGAGCGCUAGGUGUUGUGGGUGUUGACCCCUGCAGUGCCGCAGCUAACGCAUUAAGCGCUCCGCCUGGGAAGUACGGCCGCAAGGCUAAAACUCAAAGGAAUUGACGGGGCCCGCACAAGCGGUGGAGCAUGUGGUUUAAUUCGACGCAACGCGCAGAACCUUACCUGGUCUUGACAUCCUCGGAAGCCGCCAGAGAUGGCGGGUGCCCGCAAGGGAGCCGAGAGACAGGUGCUGCAUGGCUGUCGU